Molecule: non-coding RNA, 118 nt
Filed under: Candidatus Brocadia
Lineage: Bacteria; Pseudomonadati; Planctomycetota; Candidatus Brocadiia; Candidatus Brocadiales; Candidatus Brocadiaceae
Description: c-di-GMP sequence
Rfam family: c-di-GMP-I riboswitch aptamer
About the family: GEMM was predicted in a large-scale screen for bacterial structured RNA regulatory elements. Genes associated with GEMM are involved in a diverse array of functions, including chemotaxis regulation, signal transduction, secretion and chitin.
Source: RNAcentral
UACGAUAAAGGUAAACCCUGAGUGAUCAGGGGACGCAAAGUAACAGGGUCUUGAAACUCACAAGGAUGUAGUUUGCAAAGACUUGCUUGCAAUAAAAAAGAUAGCCUUACUGCCGAAG